This 3335-nucleotide long non-coding RNA is filed under the name Chinchilla lanigera (long-tailed chinchilla). Its description in RNAcentral is "lncRNA (ENSCLAG00000026299.1)". The record is from RNAcentral. Lineage: Eukaryota; Metazoa; Chordata; Mammalia; Rodentia; Chinchillidae.
AGUGAAGCCCAGCCUCUAUCUGUCAGUCGAAGCUGGAUGAAGUCGGAAUUGCGGUCAGUGUUCCUCUGCUGUGCAGGAGAUAGGCUCGCACGGGAGUGUCUGGCAGAUGUAAAUAACAUCUGCAAAACAUCACGGACGCAUCCACGCAGCACAUGUCAUUAUCUCACGUUAUAGGAGCUGGCAGGACGGAAAGAAUGAAGGAGCAGCUGUGGAUGUGCAGAAAAUAGUAGCAUAUUCAGAGAAAUCAUAAACCAAGCCUUUUUUAUUUUUUAAAGCAGGUAUGACUCACAUAUUUUCCUUUUGAAGAACCUGGUUGUUCUUUGGGGAGGGACUAACUCCACGGGCAGUAAAUUCAGGAAAUACAGUCUCCUCGCCUGGAAAAUCUACAGUGCCUGUGUACAUUUUAAAAAGGGGAGGGCUGGGGAUUUAGCUCAGCGGCACAGCGCCUGCCUGGCAAGCGCGACGUCGUGAGUUCGAUUCCCGGUACCCGGGAGGGCAAACAGGGUAGGAAGAAAAAGAGUUUGAUUUUCACCGGCCUGGAGUUUCCCGCGGAGAUGCGCGCGCGGCCCGGUCCUUGACCCUCACUCCGCGCCCGGGUGCCCCGCGGCCGGUCCGCGCGGCUCUGCAGCACCGCCGCCUUCCGGAAGCGCCAGCCGGCGUGGGGCGAGCGCGUCAGAAUCAGAAGGUGACUUCAGGCGAGGCACCGGUUAGGAUCCAGGCGAGAAGCCGGGCAGCGGCCGGCCCAUUCUCUUGCCCAGAUGCUUGUGGAUCUGUGCAGAUGUGGCUUCAAAAGCCGGGUCACAAAGGGCUGCAGACCUGGGGAAAAGCAGGCAGAGCUAGGAAGAAAAGAAAGCGCAGGGACAAAAAGCAUCCCUGGCUCGUCCGUCUCUCGGCCACGCCCCCCUCGGGGUACCGCGGUGACAGUCUGUUUAUAUUUCGUUGCCUUUGAGACUGCGCGUGUUCGGGGCGCUGGCGUGGACUGCUUUGGGGACUGCGGAGGAAACAGACCCUGGAGACCAGAACCGGAGCGCGGAGAGCGCGGGGCGCCGGCGCGGCAGCCCCCGCCCCGUCUGCGGGCUCACCCUUGUCUCAGGGACAGUGCCUGGAAAUCUGCCCAGUCUCCGGACUUCUCAUAGCUGUGCUACGUGGGGGCUGAGGCCAAGGUCUGGGACCUCUGAGGUGAAGACGGUCCCUGUUUCAGGACAGUGGUGGGCUGCCUGCAGAGCCGUCGUAUACCAAAGAAGCUGAGCGGGUGACAGACAUGAAGGUGGUACAGGGGGAGAAACGCAAGAGUUCGGUUCCGUGAUUAGGCGGAAGAGUGGCCUAAACUACCUUACAGAGGAGCUGGCAUCUCACACGGGAGAAGUGCAGAGGGUGGAGGUGGGUGUUAUGCUGCUAUUAACAGCCUUCGAUAAUAAGCGGAAGAAUGUAAACAUCAAGGACGGGCUCCUUCUCCGACCCCUGCCCCCAGCUCUGGCCCCCUCCCUCGCUCACAGGUCCCCAGCUUGGUUUGGUCACGGGUGCCCCUGCGAGAGACUAGAGGAGGCUAGAGGCGGCUGGGGCGUUUAUUUCCCGAGUGCGGUGCUGGUCUGAGCGGACUGCCUCCCUCUCAAAACCGCACGCAGUCCCGAGGGGCUCCCGCCUGCAGGUCCUGGCCAGCCAAGCCCAGGCUGCUCUCAGCCUCAGGGCACCUACUGCCUCUGGUUCCAGUGCAGUUUUGCAAUCCUCCCUUUGUUCCUCGGACACCAAACCUUUGCAGGGAGUGUGCAUUUCCUUAGAGAGGUCAAACUCUUAAGUGCCACGGAGGCGCAGGGUGAAGUGGGAGGGGUCUAAGGCACCAGGCGAGGGUGGCAGUCUGAGGAGGGAGCCCUGGAGUGCGCAGCUGGGACCUGCCUGUGUCCUUUGAGAGUAGGAGCCUAGUAUUAAUUUUACUAAGUAAAAACUAAAAAAGAAUUUUAAAAAACUCAAACAACCAAAAUUGCAAUUUUUGCUGGGGGCUGGAGGCGUGCUCAGCACGAUUUAGGGGCUGGGUUCAACCCCAGUACUGCCGACCCCCCCAAAAAAGCCAAAAGCAAAAACAACAACAAAGAAAAACCAAAGAAAAUUUAGUUUAAAAACUUUUCUGAUUUUCUGACCCAGGUUUUCAGUGGAAACUAAAAACAUACAUUUAGUAGAAGAACUUUCCCCACCUGUUGUUUUUUUUUUUUUUUUUUUUUUUGUCUAUUUGAGGCAGGGUCUGGGUAUGUAGUUCAGGCUGGCCUUGAGCUCACUUUGUAGCCCAGGCUGGUCUUGAACUCACAGAGAUCUUCCUGCCUCAGCCUCCCAAGUGCUGGGAUUACAAACGUGCAACACCACACCCAGAAAACUUUCCCUACUUACAAACACAUUCUGUAGGCCAAAGAAAACAUUCGUCAACUUGACCCGCAGCGGCCAUGCUGGUCUCACACUCACCCUGCUCCUUAGAGAAUCGAGUUACCCUGGGAUCGUGCUGAGGACUCCGGUCUGGACACACACAGCCAGCUUUACUUCAUCUGAUCCUUUCAACAGUGUCACCUCAAGAAAAGUCUCCCAUACCCGCUGCACAAAUGAGGAAAGUCUUUCAAGAACUGAGAGGUAAAACGACUCAGGGACGGCCCGGGCAGGAAGAACGUGCGGAGGGAUUCCGAAGUCUGCGCUCUUCCCCUGAGCCCGGCUCACCCGUUGGCCAGGUGGAUCCUGGGGGUCGGCACCAGGCCUGGGUUCUCCUCAUCUCUUCAAGUCCACGUCUGACUGAGCUCACGCAUUCACAGGGGUCUUCCACGCUUCGCCUGGGACCCAUGGAGUCCCCUAGGUAACAGGUAGGUGGUUUGGGAACAGGUCCACGAAACCCUUGAAAUUACAGGCCCAUUUUUUUUAUGUGUGCACAUAUAUAUUUUUCUGUAGCGUUCACAAAGAUUUCAAAUGGAAAGCCACAAAAAAAUCAAGACCAUCUGUCAAGGUGUUGGAAAGUACAUCGAAGAACUAGAGUAGGCCCACGAGGAGCGCUACAGUAAAAGAUGGAAAUAACAGGCAGUUGGUGGAAAUGCAGAGCGACUGGAAUCCUGGGAGGAAAGGGAACUGGCACCGCCAUGCUGGAAAACAGUUCAGCAGCGCUGCAAAAGCAAAACAGUCACCAGCCGGGCGUGGUGGCGCACCCCUGUAAUCCCAGCACUCGGGAGGCUGAGGCAGGAGGAUCAUUGCAAGUUCGAGACCAGCCUGGGCUACAAAGUGAGCUCAAGGCCAGCCUGAACUGCAUAGCGAGACCCUGUCUCAAAAAGACAAAAGUAAAUAAAUAAUAAAUAACUAAAUAAAUAGAG